Molecule: ribosomal RNA, 558 nt
Filed under: Salmonella enterica subsp. enterica serovar Montevideo
Lineage: Bacteria; Pseudomonadati; Pseudomonadota; Gammaproteobacteria; Enterobacterales; Enterobacteriaceae
Description: partial 23S ribosomal RNA
Rfam family: Bacterial large subunit ribosomal RNA
Source: RNAcentral
UCCUCCAAGGCUAAAUACUCCUGACUGACCGAUAGUGAACCAGUACCGUGAGGGAAAGGCGAAAAGAACCCCGGCGAGGGGAGUGAAAAAGAACCUGAAACCGUGUACGUACAAGCAGUGGGAGCACCCUUUGGGGUGUGACUGCGUACCUUUUGUAUAAUGGGUCAGCGACUUAUAUUCUGUAGCAAGGUUAACCGUAUAGGGGAGCCGGAGGGAAACCGAGUCUUAACCGGGCGUUAAGUUGCAGGGUAUAGACCCGAAACCCGGUGAUCUAGCCAUGGGCAGGUUGAAGGUUGGGUAACACUAACUGGAGGACCGAACCGACUAAUGUUGAAAAAUUAGCGGAUGACCUGUGGCUGGGGGUGAAAGGCCAAUCAAACCGGGAGAUAGCUGGUUCUCCCCGAAAGCUAUUUAGGUAGCGCCUCGUGAAUUCAUCUCCGGGGGUAGAGCACUGUUUCGGCUAGGGGGCCAUCCCGGCUUACCAACCCGAUGCAAACUGCGAAUACCGGAGAAUGUUAUCACGGGAGACACACGGCGGGUGCUAACGUCCGUCGUGAA